This 406-nucleotide ribosomal RNA is filed under the name uncultured bacterium. Its description in RNAcentral is "partial 16S ribosomal RNA". It matches the Rfam family "Bacterial small subunit ribosomal RNA", at positions 30 to 526 of the family's 1533-position model. The record is from RNAcentral.
AUUGAACGCUGGCGGCAGGCCUAACACAUGCAAGUCGAACGAGUGGCGGACGGGUGAGUAAUGUCUGGUAAACUGCCCGAUGGAGGGGGAUAACUACUGGAAACGGUAGCUAAUACCGCAUACCAUCGGAUUUGCCCAGAUGGGAUUAGCUAGUAGGUGGGGUAAUGGCUCACCUAGGCGACGAUCCCUAGCUGGUCUGAGAGGAUGACCAGCCAAACUGGAACUGAGACACGGCCAAAACUCCAACGGAAGGAAGCAGUGGGGAAUAUUGGAAAAUGGGGGCAAGCCGGAUGAAGCCAUGCCGGGUGUAUGAAGAAGGCCUUCGGGUUGUAAAGUACUUUCAGCGAGGAGGCGUUACUCGAAGAAGAAGCACCGGCUAACUCCGUGCCAGCCGCCGCGGUAAUUC